GGGCCCGUAGCUCAGCAGCAGAGCGCCUGUUUCGCAUACAGGAGGCCGCGAGUGCGAUUCUCGCCGGGUCCA
Molecule: transfer RNA, 72 nt
Filed under: Candidatus Naiadarchaeum limnaeum
Lineage: Archaea; Nanobdellati; Candidatus Undinarchaeota; Candidatus Undinarchaeia; Candidatus Naiadarchaeales; Candidatus Naiadarchaeaceae
Rfam family: tRNA
About the family: Transfer RNA (tRNA) molecules are approximately 80 nucleotides in length. Their secondary structure includes four short double-helical elements and three loops (D, anti-codon, and T loops).
Source: Rfam by way of RNAcentral